CUGGACAUUCAGAUUCUGUGCCUCGAAUAGCUGAGUCUGGCACUUCUCCACUGACUCCUGGGGAUUUCUGAAUUAUUAAUGGGUUAAUUGUUAUUAUUUAUUUGAAUUUUUACGGUUUUCAGGUGAAGGUCAAUGAGAAUUUCUCGUAAUUUCUUCUCUAAGUCGUUGAUAUCGUCGAAAUUCUCGUUAUAAUCCAUCAAAAUUUUGGUUUUAAAUUUUUUGAAAUAUCAAGAGGUGGGAGAAAGCGGCGGGAGUCAUCCAUUUUGUCCGCCAUUUUGAUUCGCAAAGAGUGUAAGUCAUAACCCAAUUUUGUUCGCCAAUUUGUCACACUUAAUUCUCUCUAGAUUGUUUUAACAAAUUGUCCCAGUUAAUCAAGACAGCCAACAGUGUUUCAUAAUUGUAAAAGUGUUUUCGAGUCUUCUAUUUGAACAGAAGGAGAUGACUAACGUCAACAAAUCGAAGGCCACACGUGUGUAAGUCAUAACCCAACUUUUUCCGCCAUUUUAUCAGACUUUAUUCUCUCUAGAUUGUUUUAAAAAAUUAUCCCAGUUAAUCAAGACAGCCAACAGUGUUUCAUAAUUCUAAAAAUGUAUUCGAGUCUUCUAUUUGAACAGAAGGAGAUGACUAACGUCAACAAAUCGAAGGCCACACGUGUUUCUGCAUUCCAGAUGGAGAUACAAUUGAUUUUCGUUUUCCUGUCAACGUUAUCUCUAGUCGCAGGAAAUUUCGAUUUCUGUUAUAUGUUACAUUACAAUGCGCAAAUGUGUAAACCUGCGAAUUCGUCGGUGCUGAUGAAUAUUUAUCGAGGACGUGUCAACGAAUCUGUUAUACUCAUAAACAAUUCAUCCCACAUAGAUGUGGAAAUGUAUCCAGACUCCACUGUCAACAGAUCGACCUACGGGAUGAUGACCUUCACCGAGGAUUCCUUCAAAGAUCUCCAAAAGCUCAGGUCGAUCCGCCUGUCAGUUGUGGAAUUCCAGGGGACACCAAGUCCUUUCGUAAAUCUCCAGUUCCUGGAGAGUAUCGCCUUCCGUGACAACAAUCUCUCCGAAUUUCCUCGGGAAUUCUUCAGAGGAAUUCCACACUUGAAGACGAUUUCUGUAUACGAUCAGGAGAUCAGGAAUUUACCCAAGAAUUCGCUGGACGAAGUUGGGGAUCACCUGGAGAAUCUGGAGCUGAAGAAGCUUCAGCUGGAGAGUAUAGAGCCAGGAGCUUUCUCAAGGUUGAGUCACUUGAAGAAUCUGAUUUUGGAUGACAAUCAGCUGCAGGCUCUAGGGCCUGAGAUUUUUGAAGGUCUCGGUCACCUGGAGACUCUCCAGGUGCAAAAAAAUCAGGUGAAGUCCAUUGAACCUCGAACUUUUGAUGGGUCCCCUCGUCUUCGUGAGUUAAAUCUGGAGUUCAAUUAUUUGGAGACUCUACCAGAUAAAAUUUUUCAUCGUCUCGAGAAUCUGAAGACUCUUUUGCUCUAUCACAAUCAGAUAAUCAAUAAAUUCUAUGAUCUUACUGCAGGAUUGAAGAAUUUAACUGUCUGGUCUUUCGGAGAAAUUACAAAACAUACAUCUGAGCUGUCCGUCGUCGAUCCGCCGGAGAUAGGAUCUCUAAUCAGAAUAAUUUAUCUCAUGGAAAAGGAAAAUCCUGAGAUGUAAUGGAAAAUUUUAACCUUCUUCUUCAAUGUAUUAACAUUAUUAUUAUCUCAACAACAGUGAGGAACUAAAUUCAGUGGCCAGGAAAUAUCCGCCAUUUAAUCCUUCGAGUGCGAGUUUGAGUGAAGAUUUCAAGUGAAUUGGGAUUUUAGAACAGGAUCACAGAA
Fopius arisanus is the source of this 1810-nucleotide RNA transcript. It is a transcript of the gene named leucine-rich repeat-containing protein 15, with no coding region annotated. The transcript is spliced from 3 exons. NCBI's taxonomy places the organism in Eukaryota, Metazoa, Arthropoda, Insecta, Hymenoptera, Braconidae. The record is from RefSeq and is a predicted model, not a curated record.